AACUGCCCACUCACCUGGAGUUCGCCCUACAACUCCCUAGCACAAUACGCCAAGGCGUCAUGACGAUCGCCGCCUAGAAUAGUAAUCAAAUCCAGGCUCAGAAUUCAUAUCGAUAAAAUAUAAUAACUUAUAUAAAAUACGUCACUACGUAGUUCGAUCCGGAAGAUCUGCCACUCAGAUUUUAAAUCCAUAACUUCCAGAGGUCCACAAUAUAUCUCUAGGAUAACAUCCUAAAAUUUCAUUACCAUCCAACGGUUGGAUCUCCGUCAAUUUCCAAAACUAAGUGACGGUUAACAUUUUAUAUUAUGGACUUACAAUUCCAAUUCCGGAAGAUCCGUAACUCGGAUUCCCAAUCCGUAAGUUCCAAUAAUCCUCAAAUAUUACGUAUUACAACGUAUCAAAGUUUGGUGACAAUCCAACGGUCGGAUCAUCAAUUCACAUUUUCACCAAAACUAUAAAACGUUAUUCGAACACCUAACCAACAAUCCUUAAUAACUUUCUCAUACGGUGUUCAAUUUAGGUAUAUGAAUAUACCACAGUGAUCUACUCGACGUCACGGACGUCGACAUAUUUUUAAAAUAUUUUAUUUUUAUUUUUUAUUUUACUGUAGCACCAUCUUCUUCCUUGGGUCGCCGGACUGGUUUUUCCGGCGGCCGUUUUUCCGGGCAGUUUUUUCAAAUUGCCAUAACUUUGUCAUUUCUCAACGAAAUCAAGUGAUUCAAAAACGAAAGUUGUAGCCCUUGAAGAGACAAAGAGAAUGGUACCUUGCACAACACCUAGUUCGCCGUGGUUUGGCCGGAAACUGCCUCGAAAGCCUCGGAGGUCGCCGGAAACUGGGUAUUUUUCAAAUGAGUAUAACUUCUUCAAUACUCAACGAAAUUGAGUGAAACAAAAAGGAAAGUUGUAGUACUUGACGAGACGAAGAGAUUGAUACCUACCUCGACUCUUAACUCGCCGGGGAUUCGCCGGAAAAAGCCUCGAAAGCUCCGGCCAAACUUUGAACUUGUCGAUCUCAGUGUUCUUACGUCCAAAAACUUCCCACGAAGCACUCCGAGCUUCCUUGGGACCUCACUAAGCUCACUAUAAGCUUAGAAUUCCCUGAAACACAACAUUUUACGUUCACAUGAACAGUGACCAAAAAUGGAGGUUCGGGUUUCACAUGAUUCCGAAGGUUUCACUUCCUAAAACUAGUACCAAUGAACUCAGAAUGACGAAAGGAUGAAGAUGCAUACCUUAGUUGCCUCGAUCCGUCGAGUUUUGGAGGAUUUGGGUGUAUGCCGUACGUUUUGGGUGAGAGAGAGUGAGAGAGAAAGAGGAAGUCGUGAGGGAGGAGAGAGAAUGAACUGAGAGAGAGACAAGGUACGGGAAAGAGGGAGAAAAUUGAGGGGUGUGGGAUCCUACCCAAUCCCCAACUACAAAAUUCUAACAUAAAUUUAAAUCUAAGUCUCCACUCUACUUACCAAAUUUUAGGAGCUUAGAUAUAACGAACAUAAAAAUUAUACCUUAGCCACGUAUUAGGGGCAUUUUCGUAAUUUCACAUCCUCGGAAUUAAAAAUUCCGGGACGGGCUGUGACAAUCUUCCCUCCUUAUAGAAUUUCGUCCCCGAAAUUCCAACAACCAAUCCAAACAUCUACUCAUACCAACCUCGGUAAAUCUCUCUUAUCCGAUUCUCUUUCUCCCACGUAAUUUUCUUCCACUGAAUGAUUUCCUUCACAAAGCUUUUACCACUUACUCUGUCUUAAUUCUCAAGACUUUCUUUUUCCAAUCCAAAGUCGUCCUUGGUUCCUUAUCAAUUCGAAUCCAAUUUAAUUCUCAAUAGUUGCACCAGAAUCUCAUGUGACGAAUCUGCCACCUAGUGACAACGUAUCGAACCCAAAAUACAUUAAGUACCUUAGCCAACUCUGAAGACAUCACCACUUGUAUGCAACUUUAUUGAUUCCUUUAGUGAUCAAAAAUGGUCUGAUGUGUCUAAAUCUUAUUUUGUCUCCUUUCCAACCCGAAUUAUACUUUUCUAUGGUGAACACUUCGAAAAUAUAAAACCAUUUGUCUUAUACACUCGAUUAGUGGCAUAUCCCUCUGUUAAUCUCUUUUGCCUCAAUCUGCUGACCAAAUAAAACUGUCGAAUGGUAUGAUAAAUCUUAUUACUUUUGGAAUAUUACAGAAGUUAAACAAUGUACUUCGUCCAAAAUUGCUUACUUUAAAUCCUUAGCAUUAGGCACAUACUUUUUGUUUUCUUGUAUCCACAUACCAUUUGAUUCACGAAUCAUGUACUCAUUCUUUUUCCCUUCUUUCUCUGCCUUGGUUAAUUCUUAAAUUUCCUCGUCAAACAUUUAAGUUUCGAGUACGACCUUACCAAAUAGGCCUAACUUGAAAUUUAACAAGUAUAACUUCUUCUCGAUCUUUCAUUCUUAACUUUUCUUCCAUUGGUUUUCAAUCCACAAGAUGAUACUCUUGGCAAACGUGCCAGAUAUUAAUCUUACUGUAGUCUUCUCACCAAGUGCUUCAGCUAGAACAAAUUUUACGAUCACCUUGAUCGUACAAUCAUGUUCAUUAAGCAAUACAAUUCACUUUCGCUGCCUCAUAUCAAAAUCCUUCCAAGUAAUGGAUAUUGAAGACUUUUUGGAUUCGUAAAAAUCUUGCAUUCUUACCAAAUAUAUAAUGUCUCCAUAACUUCACAGUAAGAAUGGUAAUCAUGACUUCCAAGUCACUCGUAGGGUAAUUCAUCUCAUGAGGUUCCAUUUAUCAUGAAACGUAUGCAAUCACCCUAACAUUUGCAUCAACAUGCCUCCAAUACCAUUCAAGAAACAUCACUAAAAAUUUAUGAUUACCACUAUUCUCUGGGAAUACCAAAUUACGUGCAUGAGUGAGGAAAUACUUCAGUUGUUGAAUCAUUUGCUCACAAUUUCCUUCCCACUCAUACAUAACCUCUUUUCUCAACAGUCUCGUUAAUGACAAAGCAAUGACUAAAAAUUCUUUCACAACCAUCCAAAAUAGCCUGGUAAGCUAAGAAAUUCCAAAUCUCAAUUACGACUCGUGGUUGUUCCAAAUUCUCAAUUUCUGCUAUCUUUUAAGAAUUCAUUUGAAUACCUUAAGCAGAUAUAACCAAUCUCAGAAUGCCACUUGAUUCAUCCAACAUUCGCAUUUGCUAAACUUAGCAUACAACCAACGUUCUCUCAAUCUUUGCUUCACCGACUUAAUACGUUUACAUGCUCUGCUCUGGCUCAGAAUAUGCCAGAAUAUCUUCAAUGAAAAUGAUAUCAAUUUAUCAAGGCAUUAUUGGAAUACUUCAUCCAUCAACUCAUAAAACAGCAUGAGUAUCCAUAUAGCAUCACCAAACUUCAUAAAGACUAUAACAAGUCCAGAAAACCAUCUUAUGAUCAACGUCACUUAUAAUAUUCAAUUGGUAGAACCAGAUCUCAAUUCAAUCUUUGAAUCUUCGCAAUUACUUCUGAGCUGGUUAAAUAAACAUCAGUACAUCACCAUGGAUAACGGUUCUCAAUCGUUACCCGACUCCAUUGUCUAUAAUCAAUGAACAAUCUCAAGAUCCAUUUUUCUUCCUCACCAACAAACUGGGCUCCUCAAAAGUGUUGUACUAGGUUGAAUAAAACUUUUAUCAACCAAUUCUCUCAACUGAAUUUCCAAUUCCCUUAACUCAUCCUGAACCAAUCUCCAAUAUAAAUUUAUACCUGGCAACAAAUCAAUAAUGAACCUCAUAUCUCUGCCUGAAGGCAAUCCAGGUAUACUUUCAAGGAAGACAUCAAGAAAAGUCUAACUCUUUCGACAUUAUUCACACUACUCCAAACAACAUCAUUUAGCACCACAUGAGCUAAGUAUUUUUGACAGCCUUUCGAAAACAAUCUCUUUGCUCUCACAGCAUAAAUAACAGCCUGACUCAAUCCAUUUUGCAUACUUACAAAAGUAAUCUCUGUUCAUCCAUAUCGAUGGAAAGUACUGGUUUCCCGUAACAUUCCGUCUUGUCACAAUUAUAACCAACCAAUCUAAUGGAACAGAAUUAACUGAUACAAUAUAUAUUCUAUUAUUAUUAAGCAUUCUAAAUAAGUACAAUACUAACAUAAAAUAAUCUACCGGUUUGCUUGCUUAACGAAUCCACGAAUGAGUUAUUAAUAUUACGGUCUGCAGCCCGCAAUACUGAUAAAUCAUCGUUGUCUCGAUAAGUAGGCAACCACUCUCAAAGAUAUAACAUUACUAUUUUGUUACUCAAUGCAAAAUACAUACACUCGUCUCAACUACAUUUAUUUACUACUCUCUAGGUAAUAACAUACAUAAUAAGAAAUAUAUCAGCCGAAGUCAACUAGAAUGACCAAUACGGCUGAUUCAACUCUUAUCUCAAUAAUACGUCGGCCGGAUCCACUCCGCGUGGUCGGUAUGGCUGAGCCUAUAACUCACCAUUUCUCAUGUGUCAAUCGAAUCCACUUCUCAUGGUCUGUACGACUGAACAUAUAACUCAUCAAAUCUCUCUGUACUCACAGUCAAUCCGACCAAACUACUAAAUUCAUAAACUUGUUGAAUCAACACUAUGAUAUCAUGGAAAAUUGUUGAGUACAACUGAUUCUAGGGACGAUUCACAAUUCUGUGUCCCCUCUGUUCACAUAAACACAUUCAUUAAUUUCACAUUUCCCAAAGUGUUAAUUUUUUUUUUUUUUUUUUUUUUUUUUUUUUUUUUUUUUUUUUUUUUUUUUUUUUUUUUUUUUUUGUACCUGCUGCACAAGGUACAUUUCCUUUACUCGAGACACCUUGUCUCAAAUAUCUGGGAUUACCAGUAUAUCCAUCACUUUUACUCUGACCAGCGACAUUAAAACCUCAGCUGGAAGAAUUAACUCUAGCUUCACUUCUUUCGAAGCUCUGAAUCUUUCUAUAUCCUUGAUAUGACGAAUCAUUGACUUUAUCGUCUUCUUUUGAGUCUCAUUCAUUUCUUAUUCUUCUUUAUUCUCGUUGCUCAUGUUCUCAGAGUCCUCAAGACUCAACAGCAUCUCGCAUACUCCUGAUAAGAAUUACAAUGGAUAGUGGUCACCCAAAAUACCACUUCCCUUUUGCCACCCAGCCUAAAACAACAUAACACCUCCACCAAAUUCACAACAAUAUCUGGAUAGAACGAGGCAAGUCUGAAAACUUUCUAUAAUAUCCCUCGAUCAUCACCUUCCUUGUCUCAUAUUUGUAAACUCUUGUUUACCACCAUCGAUAAAUGCCGGAGGGAUAAACUUUUCCUUUAAACAAGUCCUUAAACAAUUCUCAAUCGACUGAUUCCUAUGGUGACAACAAUUCAUACUCCUGUUUCCACCAGGAUACAAAUUCAUAACCAAAACCAGGUAGUCGUCUCGACCCCUUGUCAGAAGGAAAUUUCCUUUGACUUGCAUAAUCUGAAACAUCUUUUCCAAUUGGUUAAACCGUUACUUCGCUCCCUCAGGUUCAUCAUUUCAUAAGGUGAUUCAAAUUCAACUCAUAACCCAUCUUAAAAUGUCCCUUUUUAUAAUAGACUGAAUCACCAUAAUAAUAGUUUUCCCUAAACCGCUAUAUUAGGGAGACUAAAUUCCUCUAACUACGUGGUUUGCUACGAGGCGGUGUAGUUCUGACAGAAUUCACUAUAAACUUCUCAAGAUGUCCAAGAUUGCAACCAUGCUCUGAUACCAACUGACAUACCCCAUCCCGAAGGAGGGCAUGCUGGCCGUCACGUGAGAGUGACGUAACCAUUUGCACAGUACGGAAGCUUUAAGAUACAAUUUAAGUUGAUACACCCGAAGGUGAGUCCUAAUUUUGUCCAAUCUGUCAGAACACCGUCGAAUUCCUCGUAGUCACCACACCUUUGUGAUUCCUGAACCUGGAGGGGCGCAAAACCAAAAUUGAGUGGGUCAGUAAAACAAUUCUUUUCCAAAUCCAAACAAUUUUCAAAACGUUGUAACCCCUCUCCGUAAAACCUGUAUAUUUUCCCAGAAAUGUAAAAUAUAAAUAUACAUAUAUAUUCUCAAAACUUCAAGUCGUUAACUCAACAUUUUCAUAACAAUUAUGCCAUGCCACAUCAUCUCAACAUUUCUCAUAUUAAUUAUGCCAUGCCACAUCAUCUCAACAGUAAUAAGGUAUGAAUGCAUCAACAUAAUCAUAUCAGGUGCAAGAAAGUAAUCAACCGUAGGCCCUCUAAUAGCCCUGUACGGUUGAACCUAGAGCUCAAAAUCUAUCAUUAUCACUCUACCGGAGUCACCUCUGUGACCCGUCCGGCCUUCUGCACACAAGUUACGCUCUAGUGCUUCUCAUAAGUCAUCUGUGCACAUAAUCUAAGGUCACCCACCAGUCGGAAUCUCACUAACACUCUCGCGACUGGUCUGUCGUACCCACUCCGCGUGGACUGUACGACUAGCAUCUACUUGGAUCCAAGGCGAGCGUGCGAUGCGGUGAAUACUAUAAGCACUAAACCAUGGUGCAGGAUUUGAGCUCAAUAUAUAUCAUCAUCAUAAUAACAGUAAUUAAAUUCUUACCUGUGCGUCCACCGCACCAAUUCAUACAUAUGCAUCAUAAAUCAAUUCUUACCUGUGCGUCCACCGCACCAAUUCAUACAUAUGCAUCAUAUAUUAAUUCAUGCAUGGCAUUUCAACUCACAUUUCUAUAUACUUUUCAUAUCAAUUCUAUGCAUGGUAUUUCACUUCCCGUUUUUCCACAUAACUCAUAUGCAUUUCAUUUUAAACAUAUUUUCAUUUCAAUUCAAUUUCUGGGAAACGUCAAGUAUAUAUAUAUACGGAAAACAAAACUGCCCACUCACCUGGAGUUCGCCCUACAACUCCCUAGCACAAUACGCCAAGGCGUCAUGACGAUCGCCGCCUAGAAUAGUAAUCAAAUCCAGGCUCAGAAUUCAUAUCGAUAAAAUAUAACUUAUAUAAAAUACGUCACUACGUAGUUCGAUCCGGAAGAUCUGCCACUCAGAUUUUAAAUCCAUAACUUCCAGAGGUCCACAAUAUAUCUCUAGGAUAACAUCCUAAAAUUUCAUUACCAUCCAACGGUUGGAUCUCCGUCAAUUUCCAAAACUAAGUGACGGUUAACAUUUUAUAUUAUGGACUUACAAUUCCAAUUCCGGAAGAUCCGUAACUCGGAUUCCCAAUCCGUAAGUUCCAAUAAUCCUCAAAUAUUACGUAUUACAACGUAUCAAAGUUUGGUGACAAUCCAACGGUCGGAUCAUCAAUUCACAUUUUCACCAAAACUAUAAAACGUUAUUCGAACACCUAACCAACAAUCCUUAAUAACUUUCUCAUACGGUGUUCAAUUUAGGUAUAUGAAUAUACCACAGUGAUCUACUCGACGUCACGGACGUCGACAUAUUUUUAAAAUAUUUUUAUUUUUAUUUUUUUAUUUUACUGUAGCACCAUCUUCUUCCUUGGGUCGCCGGACUGGUUUUUCCGGCGGCCGUUUUCCGGGCAGUUUUUCAAAUUGCCAUAACUUUGUCAUUUCUCAACGAAAUCAAGUGAUUCAAAAACGAAAGUUGUAGCCCUUGAAGAGACAAAGAGAAUGGUACCUUGCACAACACCUAGUUCGCCGUGGUUUGGCCGGAAACUGCCUCGAAAGCCUCGGAGGUCGCCGGAAACUGGGUAUUUUUCAAAUGAGUAUAACUUCUUCAAUACUCAACGAAAUUGAGUGAAACAAAAAGGAAAGUUGUAGUACUUGACGAGACGAAGAGAUUGAUACCUAC
Molecule: long non-coding RNA, 7690 nt
Filed under: Malus domestica (apple)
Lineage: Eukaryota; Viridiplantae; Streptophyta; Magnoliopsida; Rosales; Rosaceae
Description: long non-coding RNA (MDOM_LNC011755)
Source: RNAcentral